This 144-nucleotide non-coding RNA is filed under the name Streptomyces silvensis. The record is from RNAcentral. Lineage: Bacteria; Bacillati; Actinomycetota; Actinomycetes; Kitasatosporales; Streptomycetaceae.
CGGGCCGGUAGAGUAGGCGGGUCGUCAUCAUGCGCGUACGAGGGAAAGCCGGUGCGAAUCCGGCGCUGACCCGCAGCCGUGAUCCGCGCGCCUCCCCACCUGUGCGCGGUGAGCCGGAACGCCUCCCGCCGCAUGACCGGCUCG